This 509-nucleotide ribosomal RNA is filed under the name uncultured bacterium. RNAcentral's name for it is "bacterial SSU rRNA". It matches the Rfam family "Bacterial small subunit ribosomal RNA", at positions 19 to 518 of the family's 1533-position model. The record is from RNAcentral.
AUGGCUCAGGAUGAACGCUAGCUACAGGCUUAACACAUGCAAGUCGAGGGGCAGCAUGAAGUUUGCUUGCAAACUUGAUGGCGACCGGCGCACGGGUGAGUAACGCGUAUCCAACCUUCCCCUUAGUAGGGCAUAGCCCGGCGAAAGUCGGAUUAAUACCCUAUGUUUUCCAAUGAGGACAUCUGAGCUGGAACAAAGAUUGAUCGCUAAGGGAUGGGGAUGCGUCUGAUUAGGUAGUAGGCGGGGUAACGGCCCACCUAGCCUACGAUCAGUAGGGGUUCUGAGAGGAAGGUCCCCCACAUUGGAACUGAGACACGGUCCAAACUCCUACGGGAGGCAGCAGUGAGGAAUAUUGGUCAAUGGGCGCGGGCCUGAACCAGCCAAGUAGCGUGCAGGAUGACGGCCCUAUGGGUUGUAAACUGCUUUUAUGCGGGGAUAAAGUGAGGGACGUGUCCCUUUUUGUAGGUACCGCAUGAAUAAGGACCGGCUAAUUCCGUGCCAGCCGCCGC